AAAAUUUCAAAUUUUCAUAUAUUUUCUUUAUGGCAAAGCAUACAUCUAGAGAGAUAGAUAUAAGGUUCCACUCAAUAAAUAAAUUGAUGCUUCUGUAAUCGUUAUCUUCAUCUUGCUUGUAGCUAAAUAGGUUGCAUUUUUCUUCAAUGACAUUCGUAUUUUUGUCGCUCAAUAGGCUGCACCAGAUAUUUACCCCUCCUUUCG
RNAcentral lists this unclassified non-coding RNA (204 nucleotides) under Hevea brasiliensis (rubber tree). The record is from RNAcentral. Lineage: Eukaryota; Viridiplantae; Streptophyta; Magnoliopsida; Malpighiales; Euphorbiaceae.